CCAGCGGAUAAUGCCGGGGACUCAUGGGAGACUGCCGGGGUCAACUCGGAGGAAGGUGGGGAUGACGUCAAGUCAUCAUGCCCCUUAUGUCCAGGGCUUCACACAUGCUACAAUGGCCGGUACAAAGGGCUGCUAAACCGUGAGGUGGAGCGAAUCCCAUAAAGCCGGUCUCAGUUCGGAUCGGGGUCUGCAACUCGACCCCGUGAAGUCGGAGUCGCUAGUAAUCGCAGAUCAGCAACGCUGCGGUGAAUACGUUCCCGGGCCUUGUACACACCGCCCGUCACGUCACGAAAGUCGGUAACACCCGAACCCGUGGCCCAACCAGCAAUGGGGGGAGCGGUCGAAGGUGGGACUGGCGAUUGGGACAAAGUCGUAACAAGGUAGCCGUACCGGAAGGUGCGG
This 402-nucleotide ribosomal RNA is filed under the name Lentzea flava. Its description in RNAcentral is "bacterial SSU rRNA". It matches the Rfam family "Bacterial small subunit ribosomal RNA", at positions 1118 to 1517 of the family's 1533-position model. Lineage: Bacteria; Bacillati; Actinomycetota; Actinomycetes; Pseudonocardiales; Pseudonocardiaceae. The record is from RNAcentral.